Molecule: non-coding RNA, 21 nt
Filed under: Caenorhabditis elegans
Lineage: Eukaryota; Metazoa; Nematoda; Chromadorea; Rhabditida; Rhabditidae
Source: RNAcentral
UGAGUCUUCUUCCUUUAGGUU